GACGAACGCUGGCGGCGUGCUUAACACAUGCAAGUCGAGCGGUAAGGCCCUUUCGGGGGUACACGAGCGGCGAACGGGUGAGUAACACGUGGGUGACCUGCCCUCAGCUCUGGGAUAAGCCCGGGAAACUGGGUCUAAUACUGGAUAUUACUCUGCGGUGCAUGCCGUGGGGUGGAAAGCCUUGUGCGGCUGGGGAUGGGCCCGCGGCCUAUCAGCUUGUUGGUGGGGUGAUGGCCACCAAGGCGACGACGGGUAGCCGGCCUGAGAGGGCGACCGGCCACACUGGGACUGAGACACGGCCCAGACUCCUACGGGAGGCAGCAGUGGGGAAUCUUGCGCAAUGGGCGAAAGCCUGACGCAGCGACGCCGCGUGAGGGAUGACGGCCUGG
This 389-nucleotide ribosomal RNA is filed under the name uncultured bacterium. RNAcentral's name for it is "bacterial SSU rRNA". It matches the Rfam family "Bacterial small subunit ribosomal RNA", at positions 28 to 419 of the family's 1533-position model. The record is from RNAcentral.